Non-coding RNA from Coregonus clupeaformis (lake whitefish), 608 nucleotides. The record is from the annotation of a RefSeq genome assembly. Lineage: Eukaryota; Metazoa; Chordata; Actinopteri; Salmoniformes; Salmonidae.
ACGUCUCUACAGUCUGAACCAGUCAUUUGCAUGAUGUAUUCAGAUCAUCAGUGUCCCUCCCACUUCACUGACAUGUUCAAUAUGGUGAAACCUGCCGUGGUCUACUGAUUGUCAUCUAUUCAUCUAUGUGACACUCCUCUUUUAUUCUGUACAUUGAUACCAGACUCUUUCCAGCACUCUCACAUAUAACGUGAUCAAACAUGUUCACAUUUCUCUUCACUGUUACUGUCUUAGUGCUUUGUGCUGCAGGUCUUGUUGAGGGGAGUGAAGUCACUCAGACACCCACCAUACUCUGGGGACUGAAAGACAGUGAUGCUCAGAUGAACUGCAGUCACACUAAGGGAGCUGGCUACAACCAGAUGUACUGGUACAGACAGCGUCCAGGAGAGGGAAUGAAGCAGGUAGUCUUCACAAGUAGUUAUAGCAAACCAGACUAUGGAGCCUUCGGUGAAGACAAAUAUCCAACUGUUAAGACAGAUGCUGAGAGUGGAUCUUUCACAGUGAAGAAGGUGGAGGCAGGAGACAGCGGCAUGUACUUCUGUGCCGUGUAUGAACACAGUGAUACAGACGACAAGCACAGCUGCACAAAAACCCCAGAGUUUCAAUAG